AUGGGAGGACGGCCUCUCACUGCUUCCCUACAGAUGGGAGGACGGCCUCU
Erinaceus europaeus (western European hedgehog) is the source of this 50-nucleotide non-coding RNA. The record is from Rfam. NCBI's taxonomy places the organism in Eukaryota, Metazoa, Chordata, Mammalia, Eulipotyphla, Erinaceidae.